Molecule: ribosomal RNA, 472 nt
Filed under: uncultured bacterium
Lineage: Bacteria
Description: bacterial SSU rRNA
Rfam family: Bacterial small subunit ribosomal RNA
Source: RNAcentral
CGCUUUCACUCCUACGGGAGGCAGCAGUGGGGAAUAUUGCACAAUGGGGGAAACCCUGAUGCAGCCAUGCCGCGUGUGUGAAGAAGGCCUUCGGGUUGUAAAGCACUUUCAGUAGGGAGGAAGGUAGUGUAGUUAACACCUGCACUAUUUGACGUUACCUACAGAAGAAGCACCGGCUAACUCCGUGCCAGCAGCCGCGGUAAUACGGAGGGUGCGAGCGUUAAUCGGAAUUACUGGGCGUAAAGCGCAUGCAGGCGGCCUGUUAAGUCAGAUGUGAAAGCCCGGGGCUUAACCUCGGAAUUGCAUUUGAAACUGGCAGGCUAGAGUCUUGUAGAGGGGGUAGAAUUUCAGGUGUAGCGGUGAAAUGCGUAGAGAUCUGAAGGAAUACCAGUGGCGAAGGCGGCCCCCUGGACAAAGACUGACGCUCAGAUGCGAAAGCGUGGGGAGCAAACAGGAUUAGAUACCCUGGUAG